RNAcentral lists this long non-coding RNA (559 nucleotides) under Canis lupus familiaris (dog). RNAcentral describes it as "lncRNA (ENSCAFG00040009969.1)". Lineage: Eukaryota; Metazoa; Chordata; Mammalia; Carnivora; Canidae. The record is from RNAcentral.
CAUGAUCCUCAGCUCUCAUAAUGCACAGUGUGUUCUCAGCUCUAUAUGAAAAUAGAUAGGAGAGUGAUUCAGAGGAUUAAGUUGAAGGCUGAAAAAUCAUUGAGGAUUUUAUUUGCUCUUCUUUUAGAUAUCCUUUGAUUGGAUCAUUGUGAAGAUGAGCACGCUGGAGUGCCUUCCUCAUGGUCACACAGAAGGAGGAAGAAGCUCACUGCAUCCAGGCACAUCUGCAUCAAAAUCAGAGCUGAAGAGCCCACAUGGGGGUGGAGUCUCUAUGGCAAAAAAGCCCUUCCUGCAUUUUGGCAGUUACACAGGCUUUCUGAGAAGAUGGGGUAUUUUUCACUAGACUAUGAUCAUCAGUGGACCUCUAUCUUGUUUUAUCUGAGAUUAUUCUGAGUUUCUGAUAAAAGUUAUGGGCCCUGUUUCUGAAAACAUACACACAAGAAGCAAUACUCUGCUUAUACUUUUGGAAAGUGGGGGAGGUCACAGACCCCAGAAGCCCAUUCUUGAGUUGAGAAUCCCUGACCUAAAGAAGGCUCUUAUCUUUUUUUUUUUAAUUUUU